This 425-nucleotide ribosomal RNA is filed under the name Triticum aestivum (bread wheat). RNAcentral's name for it is "partial small subunit ribosomal RNA". Lineage: Eukaryota; Viridiplantae; Streptophyta; Magnoliopsida; Poales; Poaceae. The record is from RNAcentral.
UUCAUGACUGGUAACGAAAAAUGUCCCCUUUUUGGUUAACAAGAAGAGAUUGCAAAGGAGUUGGAUGCGUAGGGGCAUGAUAUCUCGAUGAUAGUGGCCAACACCACCUACAUGGGCAUGAACGCCCUCCAUGAUGCUGGCGGCCUUGGCAUGCUACCAGUCUACUUGUAUCUCCCUUGGGAGGUCAAGAUGGAUGUUGGCAUGCCCGAUACCGUUCAGGUUAUGCAGCGGUGUUGAAUAAAAUGCUGCCGGUGCAUGUGCGCAGCUUGAUGAAUCGUUCGCUGAUAAUGCUCCACUGCUACUGUCGGGCUUCCACGUGAUACCACUUGAUGCCAAGACGGAUGCACCAUCAGCAACACGUACACCAGACCUUGCAUCUACUCUUGAGGUUAAGGUUAGACCUGGUGUGCUCCUAGUGAUGCAUC